Molecule: long non-coding RNA, 627 nt
Organism: Liolophura sinensis
Lineage: Eukaryota; Metazoa; Mollusca; Polyplacophora; Chitonida; Chitonidae
Exons: 3
Source: RefSeq, a predicted model, not a curated record
GAGGGAAGUUUCGUAUCAAGAGCCGGGAUUAGGCGCAGAUGGAUGACUUCUUGUCAAAACCCCUCUUCACGAUGUGAUCUUAUCAUGAAGUUCCAUUAACACAAGAUCCUGUUUGGUCAUUGUGUGAUAUAUGUAUAUGCAUGAUUGCUGCAAGUUUUUCAAAGUUGCCGAUAGUAGUUUAAGAUGGCCAGCCAUUAUCCAGGUUAUCCGACUGUGACACCUAGUAAUGGAGUUGUGACCGUACCAUGCACUUACACCUACCGGCAGGAUAACUACCACCCACAGCCCGUACCAUCUGGGUUCCCACAGCCUGUGUACAGCCCACCUAUGGCACUUCCACCCAUGCCACUGCCCACUUACCAGGCGGCAUACCUGAUGCCCGGUCCCCAGCAGCCUGCAAAUAACUACCCCCACAUCAAACCUGCACAGACCAAGCAGUCAGGUCAACCAAUGUAUAUUUCACAGGUGAAGGUUUCCCGGCAGACCUGGUCAGGUCAUACUAUAUCUCCUGGAAACCACCAUGAAAAUGGAGGGUACGAUUCACAUAUGAUCUACAAGACAAGGGACACUACUCUUGAUGGGAAGCCUAAAUGUCACAGAGAAAAGCUGGAGAAGCUGAUGAUGAAA